Molecule: long non-coding RNA, 316 nt
Filed under: Setaria italica (foxtail millet)
Lineage: Eukaryota; Viridiplantae; Streptophyta; Magnoliopsida; Poales; Poaceae
Description: long non-coding RNA (SITA_LNC005584)
Source: RNAcentral
GCACCGGCACGCCGCCUGCCGGUCCGCGCUGGUGCGCGCCGCGCUGUUGAGGCUGCGCACGCCGCCGCAGCAACCCGAGGGCAUCGCCUUGGCGUUCCCCGUCGCGUACGGGAUGCACGGCGCCAGCGACGACGCCACCUGACCGCAGGUGAUCGCCGCCGACGACGACGCCACCAGCGCCGCCGCCGCGAACACCAUGGCCAGGGCGAACACCGCCUGCAUCUUCCUCAUCGGAGCCAUUGUGUUAUACAAUCGGUCGCGUGUGCUAAUAAGCUGCUAACCAACUGCUAGCUCGAUCGAUGAGUGUGGAUGGCUG